This 305-nucleotide ribosomal RNA is filed under the name uncultured bacterium. RNAcentral describes it as "bacterial SSU rRNA". It matches the Rfam family "Bacterial small subunit ribosomal RNA", at positions 334 to 656 of the family's 1533-position model. The record is from RNAcentral.
UUCUCCUACGGGAGGCAGCAGUGGGGGAUAUUGCACAAUGGGGGAAACCCUGAUGCAGCGACGCCGCGUGAGUGAAGAAGUAUUUCGGUAUGUAAAGCUCUAUCAGCAGGGAAGAAAAUGACAGUACCUGACCAAGAAGCCCCGGCUAACUACGUGCCAGCAGCCGCGGUAAUACGUAGGGGUCAAGCGUUAUCCGGAUUUACUGGGUGUAAAGGGAGCGUAGACGGUUAUGUAAGUCUGGAGCGAAAGCCCGGGGCCCAACCCCGGGAGUGCAUUGGAAACUGCCAGGCUGGAGUGUCGGAGGG